Non-coding RNA from Arabidopsis thaliana (thale cress), 694 nucleotides. Lineage: Eukaryota; Viridiplantae; Streptophyta; Magnoliopsida; Brassicales; Brassicaceae. The record is from RefSeq.
CAAAUGUCGAGUACAAUCUUUUUUUAGUUCUGUUUUUCCACUGGAGGAGUUCUCUCACUCAAAUUUUAUCUACAUUGCUCAUUAGCCGAGAGAAACAAAACAUAAAAAAUCCUCUUACAAGAGGAUUGAAGAAGGGAAAACAAAGCCUUGGGGCUGUAUCCACGGGCUUCCAUCUUCUAAAAGCCUUUGAAGUGGACCAGACUCUGUAUGUAGCCAUAUUUGUAUUUUCCUUUUUCUUUCCUGAUAUAGAUACAUGGAUGUAUGUAGAUAUGAAUGAUAAAUGGGUUAUGUAUAGAUGUAUGAUUAGGAUGUGAAUGUAUAUGACUAGGGUGUGAAUGUAUAUAUGUAUGAUUAGGGUGUGAAUGUAUAGAUGUAUGAAUAGGGUGUGAAUGUGUAGAACUAUAGAGGUGUGUUAGUGUAGGGUGAGAGUAUAGAUGUAUGUAUAGGCUGCAUAUAUGUGAAGUGAGUGAGCGUAGGCAAAGCGCCCAAUGCGUAACUUAGGGAGGAAACACGGCCCCUAUAACCAUCCCUAGUCACACAAGUAACAACAAACACUCUAAACGGCAAAAACAAAGCUAGGAAAAAAUAUGUCGAAAUGCUAGUCGAAACACUAAAUGUUCAAGUGUUUUACGUUAAAAUAGGACAAUAAAAAUUGCCAAGGCCCAAAAUAAAGCAAAUAUAAUUUUGUAAAACA